CCAUGAGUACAGUGGCGACCGGGUGAGUAACACGUGACUACCUACCCUUGAGUGGGGGAUAACCUCGGGAAACCGAGGCUAAUACCGCAUAAUAUCGAGAGAUCAAAGGAGCAAUUCGCUUUUGGAGGGGGUCGCGGCUGAUUAGUUAGUUGGCGGGGUAAAGGCCUACCAAGGCAACGAUCAGUAGCCGGCCUGAGAGGGCACACGGCCACACUGGCACUGAAACACGGGCCAG
This 235-nucleotide ribosomal RNA is filed under the name uncultured bacterium. RNAcentral's name for it is "partial 16S ribosomal RNA". It matches the Rfam family "Bacterial small subunit ribosomal RNA", at positions 84 to 334 of the family's 1533-position model. The record is from RNAcentral.